Molecule: long non-coding RNA, 714 nt
Filed under: Prunus persica (peach)
Lineage: Eukaryota; Viridiplantae; Streptophyta; Magnoliopsida; Rosales; Rosaceae
Description: long non-coding RNA (PPER_LNC003914)
Source: RNAcentral
GCGCUACGUGUCAUCUAUAUCUUCUAAAUCCCUAUAUAAAACAAAAGCCUCAACUCAGACCUCUCACACCAUAUCCUCUCUAUCAUUUCAUUUCUCAGAUUUUAGAAAACACAUUCCUCUCUCAAUGUCUUACAUGAGGAGGUGCUUGGAGAGGCAAUAGCUAGAAAUUGAAGAAAGAAGGCACAAACGAGCUGAAGAAGAAAGGGAUGAGGAAGAAGAUGAUGAUCAAGUUUCCAUGGCAGUGGGUAUGCUCCAUCUAUCAAGCUAAGGCUGACACCGUGGUUCACAAGUCGGUCGUGGCCCGAACGUGGACAAACGUAGACAUUCUCGGGGUAAGAAUCUUUUGUAAGAUUAUUUUAUCCCAAAUUCGGGGAAUCCAACGGCAAAUGUGAUGUCGUUGAAUCGUGGAGCGGCGUCUUAUUCAACACAACGGUCGGCCUCGUGGGAAUAAUUUUGAAUCUCGAACAAUUUUUAACCACCUCCCAACAUUGGUGAUUGUUGAAAGAUUUUUUACCUUGGCCAAUGACAUCGAGCCACAUUUGUGUUUGCAUAAUCUAUAAAAAUAAAAAAUUGAAAAUGCAAGAAAAUUUCAUUUAAAAAAAAAAAGGACAUUAUAUUUAAUAAAACGGCAAUUACAAAUAAUUUACCUCAAUGGCAAGAUUUUCGCCGUUUCAAACGUUGUCCCUCGCUUUUACCAAUGCAUCUCACCAUUUC